ACUGUCCUAAAGGCUUAGUAAUUGGCGAAGAAGUGAGAAAAUGUAAAUGUUUACUCUCUGUUGUAUUAUUUACAGGAAGUGCUGGCCGUGAACAGACUGGCAGCAGCAGAACAUAUAAACCUGCAACUACUACAAAAACUAUGUCGAUUUUGGAUGCUUUUAAGUCAUCCAGACAGCAACCCUCCCGAAACAUGUCUGCCAAGAAUUAUUCAGAGGUGAUUGAAGAUGAUGAUUCUAAUAUGGAGGUGUCUUUUUCCACUUCUUCUACAAAUCAAAGAUUACCAACCACAUCAACGCAAAGCCAGACGAGCUCUCAGAGCCAAGCAUCAAAAGGUGUUGCCUUUGAAUCAGAUGAGGAUGAAUUAUUUGUUUCCACUUCGAGAAGAAAAAGAUGAUAACUUCCGAAGCCCAAGCAUGGAAGGGAAGUGCAAAAAUUACUUCUCCAAAUUCUGCAAAGGGGACCUGAGAUGUUUGCACCUGGUUCUCUGUAAUUUUACUGUAUUGUCUGGAAACUGGUGGCUUCCUUGAAGGAGAAUUGCUUCCUUACUCUGUAUCUGCAACGCCAUCAGGCCUGCACAAAUAUCCUGCUAAAUGGUAUGAUCCAGAGUUCGCUUGAGUGGAAACGCGUAAAAAGUAAUAUUUCCUCUUAGGGAUGGCAGUUUUCACUGAGGCCUACUUGCUGCUUACUUUGUGAUUCUUAUAAUCUGUCCAGGAGUGUGAAGUUAGGAAUGUUCUGGAGCUGUGUGAGGGAAAAGAGAAUUCAGAAAAAUGGUCCCUCAUUUCUUCCAACAAGAAGUCACCAAACUUCAGUCACUUCCUCGCUAAGGGCAACCUCAAAUAUACCUGAAUGGAGAUGGCCGUUUCUGUAUCCAGCACUUAAAGGCAAAGGAAAUGUGUUACAGCAUUUCUUUCAAAGGGCUCCGGUGUCUUUUUCAUUUUACAGAGGAAUAAAUUAGAACCGGUUGAGUAAGAGAGCA
This 977-nucleotide long non-coding RNA is filed under the name Notechis scutatus (mainland tiger snake). RNAcentral's name for it is "lncRNA (ENSNSUG00000017998.1)". Lineage: Eukaryota; Metazoa; Chordata; Lepidosauria; Squamata; Elapidae. The record is from RNAcentral.